This 72-nucleotide transfer RNA is filed under the name Felis catus (domestic cat). It matches the Rfam family "tRNA". Rfam says of the family: Transfer RNA (tRNA) molecules are approximately 80 nucleotides in length. Their secondary structure includes four short double-helical elements and three loops (D, anti-codon, and T loops). The record is from Rfam by way of RNAcentral. RNAcentral also lists the same sequence under 3 other names. Lineage: Eukaryota; Metazoa; Chordata; Mammalia; Carnivora; Felidae.
GCCUGGCUGGCUCAGUCGGUGGAGCGUGUGAUUCGUGAUCUCAGGGUUGUGAGUUCAAGCCCCCGCUGGGUG